GCUCCUUUAAAUGUCUGUGGAGGGAUGAGAAAUAACACGAGCUGUUAAAACUACUGAACACUUUCUCUCAGCUGGUUUUCUGUCUUUACUUCCUCAAACCUUUAUUUUGUUCUUUUUACUUCCUAUAUCCUUGAUUUUUUUUUUAUAUCGUUUUAAUUCCUGAAACCUUGAAAUUUCUUUUCUGUCUUUAUUUCCUGAAAGUUUGAUUUUUUUUCUGGUUUUAUUUCUUGAAACCUUGAUUUUUCUGUUUUUACUUCUUAAUACCUGGAAUUUUUCAGCUUUUACUUCUUGAAACCUUUAUUUUUUCUGUCUUUAUUUCCUAAAAAGUUUGAUUUUUUUUUGUCUUUACCUCCUAAAACCUUGAUUUUGUUCUCUUUUUACUUCCUAUAUCCUUGAUUUUUUUUUUAUAUCAUCGUUUUAAUUCCUGAAACCUUGAAAUUUUUUUCUGUCUUUAUUUCCUGAAAGUUUGAUUUUUUUUCUGUUUUUAUUUCUUAAUACCUGGAAUUUUUCAGCUUUUACUUCUUGAAACCUUGAUUUUUU
Xyrichtys novacula (pearly razorfish) is the source of this 540-nucleotide non-coding RNA. The record is from the annotation of a GenBank genome assembly. Lineage: Eukaryota; Metazoa; Chordata; Actinopteri; Labriformes; Labridae.